Molecule: transfer RNA, 91 nt
Filed under: Methylothermaceae bacterium
Lineage: Bacteria; Pseudomonadati; Pseudomonadota; Gammaproteobacteria; Methylococcales; Methylothermaceae
Also listed under: 2 other names
Description: tRNA-Ser
Rfam family: tRNA
About the family: Transfer RNA (tRNA) molecules are approximately 80 nucleotides in length. Their secondary structure includes four short double-helical elements and three loops (D, anti-codon, and T loops). Further hydrogen bonds mediate the characteristic L-shaped molecular structure. tRNAs have two regions of fundamental functional importance: the anti-codon, which is responsible for specific mRNA codon recognition, and the 3' end, to which the tRNAs corresponding amino acid is attached (by aminoacyl-tRNA synthetases). tRNAs cope with the degeneracy of the genetic code in two manners: having more than one tRNA (with a specific anti-codon) for a particular amino acid; and 'wobble' base-pairing, i.e. permitting non-standard base-pairing at the 3rd anti-codon position.
Source: RNAcentral
GGAGAGGUGUCCGAGUGGUCGAAGGAGCACGACUGGAACUCGUGUAUACCCUAACCGGGUAUCGAGGGUUCGAAUCCCUCCCUCUCCGCCA